UGCAAGUCGAGCGCGGCCCUCGGGGUCGAGCGGCGGACGGGUUAGUAAACGCGUGGGAACGUAACCCUCGUGGUAGGGAAUAGCCACUGGAAACGGUGAGUAUACCCUAUGAGCCCUUCGGGGGAAAGAUUUAUCGGCCAAAGGAUCGGCCCGCGUUAGAUUAGGUAGUUGGUGGGGUAAUGGCCUACCAAGCCUACGAUCUAUAGCUGGUUUUAGAGGAUGAUCAGCAACACUGGGACUGAGACACGGCCCAGACUCCUACGGGAGGCAGCAGUGGGGAAUCUUGGACAAUGGGGGGCAACCCUGAAUCCAGCCAUGCCGCGUGAGUGAAGAAGGCCUUAGGGUCGUAAAGCUCUUUCGCCUGUGAAGAUAAUGACGGUAGCAGGUAAAGAACCCCGGCUAACUCCGUGCCAGCCGCCGC
This 421-nucleotide ribosomal RNA is filed under the name uncultured bacterium. Its description in RNAcentral is "bacterial SSU rRNA". It matches the Rfam family "Bacterial small subunit ribosomal RNA", at positions 56 to 518 of the family's 1533-position model. The record is from RNAcentral.